Molecule: long non-coding RNA, 19660 nt
Filed under: Capsicum annuum
Lineage: Eukaryota; Viridiplantae; Streptophyta; Magnoliopsida; Solanales; Solanaceae
Description: long non-coding RNA (CANN_LNC019861)
Source: RNAcentral
UCUUUUUAUUUGCGGAGGCCUCGAAAAUCAACGAAAAAUUUCUUCAUCAGCCAAUUAAAUUAAUACUGAAUAUAGAUCAAAUACGAGUAAUUAAAUAAAAAAAAUAAAAGAUAAAAAUAAAAUAUGUCUUAUGUCUUUUGUCCUGGGGAGAUAUCAAAGAUUAACCGAGAAGUUUUACCAUUAUUCAAUUAAUUUAUUAAUAUCCUAGAAUAAAAUAAAAUCGAAACAUUCAAUUGAAAUUGUCUAACUUGGACCCAAAUUAAAAAAUGCAAUUUCUAAAAAAUAAACAAAUUGUAACAGUGAAUCAAAACCAGUAUAAAACAAAGCAACAAUGAACAAAGAUUACUAAAUAAUCAUAUGGAGUCACUGAAAAGUUUUUUUUUUUUUUUUUAAAUAAUGAAUCAUCAAAUGCACAAGAUUUAAUCUUGAAUAAACAUCAAUUGUGAGGAGUAAACAUUGGAAAACAAAAUCAAUAUGUCCAAAAAAAAAUCACGAAAAAGAUCAAGCAGCCAUGAAAACAAACAUACAUAGAUUGCCGGAGAGAAAUUCAAGCAAAAUCAACCCGAAAAUAAUAAAAUAAUGUAAAAAUUAUCCAAAAUAACAAUAGCGAUACUUCAAAUUUAUUUCCACAAAACACACAAAAUAAUGGUAAAGCGAAAAGAAGAAGAAUUCACCGGGGUUUAAGUUUUUCCGGUAACUUGGUCAUGGUUUCCGGCAAAAUCUGAAAAUAAACAGAAAAAAAUAAUCGCAGUCAAAAGGGAAUAGAUCACGCUUCAAAGGAUUUCACCGGAGCAACACCGAAGAGGUAUUUUCGGCCAGAUCUACCCGUUUUUCGGCGAGCAGUGACGGUAGUAGCAGUGUUGCGUUGAACCUCGAAUCUCGCCGGUCACAACCUCCAGCGAGGCAGCGGCGGGAGAUGACAGAAAGAGAGGAAGCUGGGGCGGCAGAUGGUUUUUGUUGGUGGCUGAAACUCGUCGGCCAUCAACUCCGGCAAGCCACGAAGAAAGUAAAUUAAUGGGGAAUUUGCAACCGGCGGUGAGAAAAAGGGAAAGGAGGUGGCGCUGGUUGGUGGCUGGAAAGAGAGGAGAGCAGAUGAGAGGGAGAGAGAGAAGCAGAUUUUAUGCGCGUAUUUGUGCGAACUCGAAAAUAAGUCACAAAAUUAAAAAAAAUUAUUAAAAUAGGUCAUUUAUUUAAAAAAUUAUCAAAAUAUACAAAUAUAAUAAAUUAUUAUUUUAUUUUUUUAAUAGUCAACAUAAUUUAUAAAAUAUAAUAAUUUAUUAUAUCAAAUGAUAUAGUUUAUAAUAAUUUAUUACAUUUUAUAAACAAUGUUUGUAAAACAUAAUAAUUUAUUACAAACUACAAACAAUGUUUGUAAGUUAUAAUAAAUUAUUACAACUUACAUCUUUAUAUCUACCCACAUCACAUCAUUUUUACUUUUUCCAUUUUUAAAUUUAACCCAACCCAACCCACCCCACAUAGAAUCCUCCCACCCCACCCUACAUAAAAUCCUUCCACCCCACCUAUUAAUAAUUUUACAAAUUAGAACCUUAUUAUUACAAUUCAAAAAUUGUAACUAUUUAUUACAUUUUUAAUUCAAAAAAAAAAUUAAAAAAUUAUUGUUUCAUUUUGUUAAUUCAAGUACUACUUAACCCACUUUUUUGACUUUUUCUCAUAAAUAGUACUAAAAAAUUACUUUUUAUAAAUAAAUUUUAAAAAAAAAAAACAUAAAGAUUUCAUCAUUGCCCAAAGUUAUUUAUUGUAUUACACAUUUGUAUACAUAAUAUCCGUCUUUUUAUUUGCGGAGCCCUCGAAAAUCAACGAAAAAUUUCUUCAUCAGCCAAUUAAAUUAAUACUGAAUAUAGAUCAAAUACGAGUAAUUAAAUAAAAAAAAUAAAAGAUAAAAAUAAAAUAUGUCUUAUGUCUUUUGUCCUGGGGAGAUAUCAAAGAUUAACCGAGAAGUUUUACCAUUAUUCAAUUAAUUUAUUAAUAUCCUAGAAUAAAAUAAAAUCGAAACAUUCAAUUGAAAUUGUCUAACUUGGACCCAAAUUAAAAAAUGCAAUUUCUAAAAAAUAAACAAAUUGUAACAGUGAAUCAAAACCAGUAUAAAACAAAGCAACAAUGAACAAAGAUUACUAAAUAAUCAUAUGGAGUCACUGAAAAGUUUUUUUUUUUUUUUUUAAAUAAUGAAUCAUCAAAUGCACAAGAUUUAAUCUUGAAUAAACAUCAAUUGUGAGGAGUAAACAUUGGAAAACAAAAUCAAUAUGUCCAAAAAAAAAUCACGAAAAAGAUCAAGCAGCCAUGAAAACAAACAUACAUAGAUUGCCGGAGAGAAAUUCAAGCAAAAUCAACCCGAAAAUAAUAAAAUAAUGUAAAAAUUAUCCAAAAUAACAAUAGCGAUACUUCAAAUUUAUUUCCACAAAACACACAAAAUAAUGGUAAAGCGAAAAGAAGAAGAAUUCACCGGGGUUUAAGUUUUUCCGGUAACUUGGUCAUGGUUUCCGGCAAAAUCUGAAAAUAAACAGAAAAAAAUAAUCGCAGUCAAAAGGGAAUAGAUCACGCUUCAAAGGAUUUCACCGGAGCAACACCGAAGAGGUAUUUUCGGCCAGAUCUACCCGUUUUUCGGCGAGCAGUGACGGUAGUAGCAGUGUUGCGUUGAACCUCGAAUCUCGCCGGUCACAACCUCCAGCGAGGCAGCGGCGGGAGAUGACAGAAAGAGAGGAAGCUGGGGCGGCAGAUGGUUUUUGUUGGUGGCUGAAACUCGUCGGCCAUCAACUCCGGCAAGCCACGAAGAAAGUAAAUUAAUGGGGAAUUUGCAACCGGCGGUGAGAAAAAGGGAAAGGAGGUGGCGCUGGUUGGUGGCUGGAAAGAGAGGAGAGCAGAUGAGAGGGAGAGAGAGAAGCAGAUUUUAUGCGCGUAUUUGUGCGAACUCGAAAAUAAGUCACAAAAUUAAAAAAAAUUAUUAAAAUAGGUCAUUUAUUUAAAAAAUUAUCAAAAUAUACAAAUAUAAUAAAUUAUUAUUUUAUUUUUUUAAUAGUCAACAUAAUUUAUAAAAUAUAAUAAUUUAUUAUAUCAAAUGAUAUAGUUUAUAAUAAUUUAUUACAUUUUAUAAACAAUGUUUGUAAAACAUAAUAAUUUAUUACAAACUACAAACAAUGUUUGUAAGUUAUAAUAAAUUAUUACAACUUACAUCUUUAUAUCUACCCACAUCACAUCAUUUUUACUUUUUCCAUUUUUAAAUUUAACCCAACCCAACCCACCCCACAUAGAAUCCUCCCACCCCACCCUACAUAAAAUCCUUCCACCCCACCUAUUAAUAAUUUUACAAAUUAGAACCUUAUUAUUACAAUUCAAAAAUUGUAACUAUUUAUUACAUUUUUAAUUCAAAAAAAAAAUUAAAAAAUUAUUGUUUCAUUUUGUUAAUUCAAGUACUACUUAACCCACUUUUUUGACUUUUUCUCAUAAAUAGUACUAAAAAAUUACUUUUUAUAAAUAAAAAAAUGCUUAAUUAAAAAUUUUAUUUUACAAAAAUGUAAUCCUUUUGUGACUAUUAAUUACGUUUUUAGUCCAACAAAAUUCAACUAAGGCAUUUUUAAUUAUUCAGUCCUUGUGUAUGAGUGGUCACAUCAAUAAUUAUACAUUCAACUGAUAAAUUUAGAAAAGAAUGUAAUUUUUCACUACGUUUUUGUAAAAUGAAAUUUUUAAUUAAGCAAUUUUUUAUUUAUAAAAGGUAACUUUUUAGUAGCCGUUUGGCUAUAAAAACUAAAAUUUUUCGGAGUUGGAGUUGGAGUUGUGUUUGACCAUAUUUUUUUGAAAUUUUUUUUUGACUUUUGAAAAAACUUUUUUAAAUAUGAUUUUAUGCCCUAACUUUUACAAACUAUCAAAAUCACUCAACUAAAAUUUACCUACUAAUGAAAAAAGAACACAAUUAGUUACUAUUACAAAAAUAAUUACAUAUACAUUGGUCAUAUUUAAUGAAUUUCAAUUAUGUCAUAUAUAAUAUUUACAUUAAUAGCCGUUUUCUCAUAUUUAAGAAAUUUAAAUAUGGAUGUUAUAUUAACAAAUCACUGCUUCCUGUUUUUUAGGUAAUAAAUAUUAUCUUUCAAACAAAUUUAUUUUUUUAGGAAUUUAUUUAAUUUAUUUCCUUCAUUUUCCGUUCCUAAAAAAUAGGAAAGGAUGAGUUGUUAUUAAAUUUUAGGGAGCCGCUAAUUUAUUUUUAAAUUUUCUUAUACAUGAAAGAUUUUACUGUGUGUGAAUAAAUUAUUUCUACGUAAAACAUGUUUUGCAUAUUUAUGGUAUAUUAUAUCAUAUACCAUAAAUAUAUAAAUAUGCUUAGUAUGUUUCUUUAUACUUUGUAUUUUUAUAUAUGUGUGUAUAUGGUAUAUACAUGGUAUAAACUUCAUAUAUAACAUACUUUGUGUAUUUAUAUUAUAAAUAUGCUUAGUAUGUUUCUUAAUACUUUGUAUGUUUCUAUAUGUGUGUAUAUGGUAUAUACAUGGUAACUUUAUAUAUAACAUACUUUGUAUAUUUCUAUUAUAAAUAUAGUACUUUAUAUAUUUAUGGGUAUAAAUAUAAAAAACAUUAAAUUUGGAAUUAUAAUUAUCUUAUUCUUUAAAACUGCUAUAUACGUAAUAUUGAAAAAGUAACGUUAUAAGGAGAGUUUUAUUUAAAAAUUUAAAAGAUUGGGGUUAUAUGUAAAUAAUAAUAAAAGUUGAAAUUGGAGUUGGAAAAUUUUGAAAACAACAAAAAGCUGUUUUCCCUUUUCAGAAAUUUUUUUCGAAAUUAUUUUUUGAAUUUUCAUGGUCAAACACUACAAUUUCCAACUCCGAAAAAUUUUUUCGUAAAAGACAAAAAUUUCCAUGGUCAAACGGGCCCUUAAUACUAUUUAUGAAAAAAAGUCAAAAAAAAAGGGCUAGAUAGUACUUGAAUUAACAAAAUGAAGCAAUAGCUUUUUUUAAAUUUUUUUGGACUAAAAAUGUAAUUAAUAGUUAUGUACAAUUUUUGAAUUGUAAUAACAAAGUUCUAAUUUGUAAAGGUAUUAAUAUGUAGGGUGGAAGGGUUCUACGAGGGGUGGGGUGGGAGGUUUCUACGUGGGAUUAGGUGGGAAGGUUAUACAUGGGGUAGGGUGGGUUAAAUUUAAAAGUGAAAAAAAUAAAGGUGAUCUGAUGUGGGUAGGUAUAAUGGUGUAAGUUAUAAUAAUUUAUUACAACUAAAAACAUUGUUUAUAGUUUGUAAUAAAUUAUUACGUUUUACAAACACUGUUUGUAAAAUAUAAUAAUUUAUUAUAAACUACAUGAUUUGACAUAAAGAAGAUGUGAUAGCACACUGUUUUUUUUUUGUGAAAAAUAUAAUAAUUUAUUACGUUUUACAAACCGUGUUGACCGUUAAGAAAAAAGUGAAAAACGUAAUAAUUUAUUACAUUUAGCCUAUUUUGGUAGAUUUUUAAAUAGGUGACCUAUUUUGGUCACUUUUUUUAUUUUGUGACGUAUUUUGGUUCCGAGUUCUAUUUGUGCAUCGGUGUGUGUAUAAAAAUUAUACCCCUCUCCUUUUUAAUAAUACAAAACAAAAUUCCUUUUUACCCAAAAAAUUAAAAACUAACCCUUUUUCUUUAUUUAAAAAAAUAAAAAAUAUCUCUUUUAACCAUUUAAUAAUAUAUAUUGAUCAAAGGGUAAAAGAUCUAAUCAGUCAUCUCAAUUGUCAUCUUUAAAAAAAAUGAUAUGAUUUGACUUGAUUGAUUCAUUGUCCUGUGUACUAAAAUAAUUAAACGACUUACAUUUGCAGGUCGUAUUAAAUAAUGUAUAAAAAUAUGAAUCUCAAUAUAUAAUUACAGAAAAAUAUAAAAAUAAAUAAAAAAUAUAAUUAUCUUAAAUUUUUUUACUAUACUAUAAAUAAUUAAAAUUAUACUAUGCAGUAAAGAAUUACAGUGCUAUGUUGUGUACGUAUGCACAUGGUUGUGAAAAAAUUUAAAAUGAUAAUAAACUGCUGAAAAUUUUAAAAUUUACAAAAUUAAGGAUAAUUAUCAAUAAAUUAUGCACAGUUAAAAUAUGACAAUAAAUUGACAAAACAUCACAAAAUAAUAAAGUUUUUAAUAAUUUAUUAAAAUUUAUAAAAACAAAUGAAAAAUUGCAUUUUAUACAUUUAAAUGAUCAGGAAGCCUGAAUGCACUAAUUUUAAGCAUGAAAAGCUAAAAUUUGGUGUCAAUAGUUUGCACCUUCUCGUUUGAAGAUAAUGUAAAAGUUUUCAAACAAAAACGUUGACGUGUAGCCAAUUUCGCUCGAUAAAAAAAAUCGAUAAAAAAUUUGAGUGAACUCCAAUUUAGGUUGCCUACAUUGUUUGAGUUGCAUGAGGAUUCGGUUGGGUAUAGCUCAAAAGCUAUCCCAACAUGUCCUAAUUUGGGUUUGGGAAACCCAAUGCAUCCUUGAAUUCUUUGCAUGCAAAAUUUAUAAAACUGAAAAGAAGAAGAAUAACGAGUAACUAAGCUUGAUUUUUUUUUUCAAGAAAUUCAAAAAAAUGACAUGUAAUGCUUUAACUAAUGUAAAGAUAAAUAAAUAAACGCAUUUCACAAUUUUAACCAAAGAUAAGUAAAAUAUUCAACUGAAGGCAAACACACAAAGGUCUAACUAGAGAACGGACUAACGCAAAAUAUCCUAUUUUAGGGUGAACAAACUCAAUUCAUGCUUGCAAAAUUUUUAGAAAAAACUAAAGUGAUUUUUUUUUCUUUUUUCUUUUUUGUUUUUCUUUUUUUUCUCUUUUUUUUUUUUGAGAAAUUAAAGAUAGCAUGCAGCGUUUAACUAAAUAAGAAAAAAAAUGGUACAUGCAAAGAUAGUAUUCAGUGCUUAAAUGAUAAAAUAAGUACAUUGCGAUAGAGAAAAGACAUCAAAACCCCCUUGAACUUAUCGCCAAAACUUACUUUAGAUCCUAAACUAAUCGGACAAUUAUUUACCCCAUUAAUAACUUUCAACUGAAUUUUUAACCACCCUAAUUACUGACAUGACAAUUUUUUUAAAAAUCAUCCGUUAAUGGCUAAAAAAAUGUGAAGAAGGUGGGGCCCACCUUUAAAAUUUUUACAAUUUUUUUAUAUCGAACAAUUAUUUACCCCCUUAACAACUUUCAAGUGAAUUUUUUACCACCCUAAUAACUGACGUGGCAAUUUUUUUAAAAAUCAGCGCGUUAAUGGCUAAAAAAAUAUGAAAAAAGGUGGGGCCCACCUUUUAAAUUUUACAAAUUUUCUCUCUGUCUGUCUGUCUGUCUCUCUCUCUCUAUAUAUAUAUACAUACAUAUAUAUAUAUAUAUAUAUAUACAUAUAUAUACUAGAGGAGCAUGGCCCGUGUCAUCACGGGUCCAACAUUAAGAUAUUUAUUUGUCUUUUCAAUCUUAAUAUAUUUAAAUAAAUUUUUUUAAUAAAAGGAUUGCAUAUGUUUUCUAGGAUUCAUCCGUAAUCUAGCAUGAGUUCAACAUAUGUUAUUUUAAUAUGUAUUUAGAUAAUUUCAAUUAUUAACUAUUGUAAUUUAUAAUAUUUGUUAUGUAAUUUUCAAAUUAAUAUAAGUUACUUUUCUUGUCUAAAUUUUUGUGGCAUUGAUAGUCAAUUAUAUUUUAAAAAUAAUUUAAAUUUUUAAUUAUUGUGAUUUAUAUUACUUUUCUUCUAUUCCAAUUUCAAUAACACCAAUAUAAUUUCAAGAGUCGAUCAAAUAUUUUAUAUCUUUAAAAUUUUUUAAGUUGUUAAUUAUUGUGAUUUCAAGUAUUUUUCAUGUAAUUUUUUUGAAAUAUAUAACAUAUUAAAUUAUUUUUAGAUAUUUUAAGUUGUUAAGAAUUGUAAUUUAUAAUACUUUUUAUAUAAUUUUGAAUAAUAUAUGCUACUCUUCUUGUCCAAAAUUUUAUGUCGACGACAGCCAAUAAUAUUUUUUAAAUAAUUUAAAUUUUUUAUCAUUGUGAUUUAUAAUAUUUUUUAUAUCUCAACUUAUAUGGCACAAUGCUUAAAUGACCAUAAUAAUUAAUCAGGGGUGAUAUAGUAAAAUCACGACUGAAGCAGCUGAAGUAGAAAUCAGUCAAUUUUUAAAAUUUUUUUUGUUAAUUAUUGUUAUUUAUAGUACUNNNNNNNNNNNNNNNNNNNNNNNNNNNNNNNNNNNNNNNNNNNNNNNNNNNNNNNNNNNNNNNNNNNGUGGCACUAAUAUAAUUUUGAUAGUCAAUCAAAUAUUUUAUGUUGACAUAUCAUUUUGUUAUUCUUUUUUUUCUAGUACAUAAAUGACUUAUAACAAGGAGUAAUAUAGUAAAAUCACCGUUCGAAAGAUGAAAAUUUAAUUUAAAAUAUUAAGAGUUAAUUUCGUAUUUUAUGUCUAUUUUAUUUUUCAUUAAAUACUAUUUAUUUUCUUAAUACCUAGAUUACUCAAAAUAAUUAAUUAAGAGCGAUUGGUUAUGUUAUUAUUAUAAAAAUUAAUAUAAUUUUAUCAUAUCUAAUAGUAAUCAUCGAUAAUUCAUCGGAAUAGUAUAUUAAUUAAAUAUGGGAUGUUAUAUUUGCAUAUGCAAAAUAUGAUAUUAUUAAACAUUAUUGGAUAGUGCAUUAUAUUUAUCUUUCACAAUAAUAAAAUUUUAAUUUUGAGAGUUGAAUAGAACUUUUAUCUAUUUUUAAAAAAGUAUUUUAACUUGUUAAUUAUUGUGAUUUAUAAUAAUUUUUACGUAAUUAUCAAAUAAUAUAUUUACUCCUUGUGUCUCAAUUUAUGUGGCUUCGAUACAAUUUUGAGAGUCAAUUAAAAUUUUUAUAUAUCUUUUAAUAUUUUAAGUUGUUAAUUAUUAUGAUUUGUAAUACUUUUUCUUUUAUUUCAAUUUAUGUGGCAUUACUAAAAUAAUAAGAGUCAAUAAAAAUUUAAUAUGUCUUUUAAAUAUUUUAAGUUAUUAAUUAUUGUGGUUUGUGGUAACAAAUUAGUUUUGAACAUGAUAGCCAAUUAAAUAAAUAAAUAAUUUUUACUUCCAAUAUAUAGUUAUAGUUAAUUAAUAUAAAUUAAUAGAAUAUAUUAAAUAUUUAAAUUAUUAUGAUGAAACAAUGGAAUUAUUAUAUAUUGGGGCAUGGUAUGUAAUUAAGUGGGAGUAGAGGGGUUUUUUGGUAAGAGUCAAUAAAAUUUCUAUAUGUCUUUUAAAUAUUUUAAGUUAUUAAUUAUUGUNNNNNNNNNNNNNNNNNNNNNNNNNNNNNNNNNNNNNNNNNNNNNNNNNNNNNNNNNNNNNNNNNNNNNNNNNNNNNNNNNNNNNNNNNNNNNNNNNNNNNNNNNNNNNNNNNNNNNNNNNNNNNNNNNNNNNNNNNNNNNNNNNNNNNNNNNNNNNNNNNNNNNNNNNNNNNNNNNNNNNNNNNNNNNNNNNNNNNNNNNNNNNNNNNNNNNNNNNNNNNNNNNNNNNNNNNNNNNNNNNNNNNNNNNNNNNNNNNNNNNNNNNNNNNNNNNNNNNNNNNNNNNNNNNNNNNNNNNNNNNNNNNNNNNNNNNNNNNNNNNNNNNNNNNNNNNNNNNNNNNNNNNNNNNNNNNNNNNNNNNNNNNNNNNNNNNNNNNNNNNNNNNNNNNNNNNNNNNNNNNNNNNNNNNNNNNNNNNNNNNNNNNNNNNNNNNNNNNNNNNNNNNNNNNNNNNNNNNNNNNNNNNNNNNNNNNNNNNNNNNNNNNNNNNNNNNNNNNNNNNNNNNNNNNNNNNNNNNNNNNNNNNNNNNNNUAUAUAUAUAUAUAUAAAACUAAAGAAAAAAAACAAGAACUCAACUUCCAUUUUCUUCUUUGUAACAAUCCCCUUCCUCACCCCCACCCCGUUUCUUCAUUUUCUUCGUACCACCAUCCCGUUUCUUCGUCUUCUUCAUAACCCCCUUCUAACCAAGUCCAAAUUGAUCCAAAACUUAUUUUUUCAACAACCAAAAAGGACAAGAUUGAUGAACAAGUUUGGUUCUUGGCCAACUAUUCCAUGUCAUGCGAAUACCAUCAAUGCCACUUCUAAAUUUGGGACUGGUUGUGUCAUUUCUAUUGAUAUUUUUUAGUAAAAGAUUGAGAAUUUGGGAGUUUUGGAAUUUUGAGUUUUGGUUAACGUGAAGGAAUUUGACUUUGAAAUUUUGUGUAUUGGUGUAUUUUGGAUUGGAAUUUUGGAUUGAGAAUGGCUCUGUGUGGAAUUUUGCGAUGAACUCAUGAUUUUUGUGUAUUGAAAUUUUUAUUUUUGAAGCAAAUCAUCACCACAAUUCAUUUUUCGAACUCUAAAAAAAAUAGAUAUCUUGUUUUGUCAUAUCUACAUUACAGAAGCACAAACAGAAAAAGAAAGAUCACAUAUAAUUUAUUUUUCAAUUUUUGAGCUAAAGAGUUGUUGAAUAGAGCAAAAAGAAAUCAAAGGGUUGUUGAAUAGAGCAAAAGGAAUUCCUAGGCAUAUUGAAGAUGGUCAACCACACUAAAAAUGACUCUAUUUGAAAUUUUGUCUUCUCUAAUUUACCAUCCACUUUAAAUUGAUCUACUUCCCAAAUUUGAUGAAUUUAAUUUUGUAUAAUUUUUAUUAGAGGGCCACGUCAUUUUUUAUUUUAUUUUUAAAAAAAUUAAUUUUCUUUUUAAAAUUUUUUUGAUCCAUUAAAAAGAAUCCACCCAAUUUUUUGAUCCAUUAAAAAUUAAUUUGAUCUAUACUUUUAAAAUUUGAUUAAUUUUUCAUGAUCAAAAAAAUAUUUAAAGAAUUUUUUUUGAAAAUCUACUACUAAAAUUUAUAACCAAACGUUAUUCUAAUUAAGCAUAUAGUAUGUCUUAGCGUACAUGAAAUAUUUUGUCAGUCGAAUGUAAGUAACUUUUUAUUUUUUUAUUUUUUUAUUAAGCAUAGAAUGGCAUCAUCAUCAUCAGGGGCGGCUCAAGCAAAUUUAUGGCCUCAGGCAAAAAUCAAACGGAAGCCUUGCGUUUUAUUUUUUUAUAUAAAUUUUUUAUUUUUUCUAUAAAUAGUAUUUAAUAUACUUCUUAAAAUUUGUAAUUUAUUAUUAAUAAACAAAAAUAGGCCCCUUAAAUUUUGGGGUCUUAGGCGGCCGCCUUUUCUCCUAAAGGGUUGAGCCGCCCCUGAUCAGCAUUCAACAUUUGUACGUAACACUUUAUGCAUCAUCAUUUAUCAUUGCAAAAAUAGGAAGGCGGCAACAUGCCGACAUAUAUAGUAUAUGUAAAGUUGGCAAAAUGAGAAGCUAACUAUUAAUAAUAUAAUAAUAUUAUUUGAUGUUUAUAUCAGUUUCAACUGAAAAAUAACAAAAGCUUUAGUUAACGUGAAUCUUUUUUAAAAAAAUAAAGUGAUAAAAAGCAUGGAGUGUAUACUCUCUCCGUUCCCUUUUAUUUACUCACCCAUCAAUUAAAAUAACUAUUUUAUUAUAAUAUAUUUAUUAAAUUAUGUUUACUAUUGUAUUUGUAAUUAAUUUGAAGAAAAAAAUAAUUAAUAUUAAAGGUAAAAUAUGAAAACAAUCUUAAUAUGUCAAAAAUGACAAAAAAACGAAUCAAACGAGAAUGUUUUAAGAAUAUAUUCAUGAAAAAUUAAUCAAAUUUUAAAAGCAUAGAUCAAACUAAUUUUCAAUGGAUCAAAAAGUUGCGUGGAUUCUUUUUAAUGGAUAAAAAAAAAUUAAUUUUUUUUAACAAAAAUAAAUUAAAAAAAUGGUGUGGCCCUCUAAUAAGUUGCCAUGUGGCAAGAUUGCUUUUAAAAAUCAUCUGUUAAAAAGUAAUGACAUGAAUGAGCCGAUUUUAUAACAGCGAUGGCAUGAAUGAGCCCAACUUUUAAUGGAUGGUAUAAAUGAGCCAUUUCUGAUAGUUCAGUGGCAUAUUUGAGCCUUUUCCCUUGAAAAAAUAACUGUAGCAACUGGUUAAGUUGCUGCCAUGUGACCAGGAGGUCACGGGUUCAAGUAUUGGAAAUAGCCUCUGGCAGAAAUGCAAGGUAAGGAUGUGUACGAUACACCCUUGUGGUGGGGCCCUUCCUCGGACACCGCAUAUAUUGGUAGCUUUAGUGCACCGAGCAUCCCUUUUCUUAAUAUGUGCCAGAUAAAGGCAAAAAUGACAUGCAAUGCUUAAAUGAUAAAAAUAAAUAAAUGCAUUGCGAUGUGUGCAAAUAAAAAUAAAGAGACCAUGUGGUGCUUAAAUAAUAAAAUAAAUGCAUUGCAAUAUAUGUCAGAUAAAGACAAAAACGACAUCCGGUGCUUAAAUGAUAAAAUAAAUGCAUUGCGAUAUUUGUGAGGCGUGCAGUGCCUAAAUGAUAAAAUAAUGCAUUGCGAUAUCUGCGUGCAAUGCUUAAAUGAUAAAAACAUUACGAUAUAUGCAGGCAAAUACAAAGAUAACAUGCGGUGUUUAAAUGAUAAAAUAAAUGGAUUACGAUAUGUGCAAAUAAAUGCAAAGAUAAUAUGCAGUGCUUAGAUACAUUGCAGAUGCAAGUAAAUGCAAAGAUAGAAUACAAUGCUUAAAUGAUAAAAUAAAUGUAUUGUGAUGUGUGCAAAUAAAGGCAAAGAUAACAUGCAGUGCUUAAAAUGAUGAAAUAAAUAAUUGCGAUGCGUGCAAGUAAAGACAAAGAUAGACUAUAAAAUCAAUGCAUUGCAAUGGGGGCAAAUAAAGGCAAAGAUAAAAUGCGAUGCUUAAACCAUAAAAUAAAUGUAUUGCGAUGCAUGUAAAUAAAAACAAAGAUAAAAUGUCGUGCUUAAAUGAUAAAAUAAAUACAUUGUGGCAUGUGCAAGCAAAGGCAAAAAAAAAAAUACAGUGUUUAAAUAAUAAAAUAAAUGCAUAAUGAGAUGUGAAAAUAAAGGCAAGAAAAAUAUGCAAUGCAAAUGAUAAAAUAAAUAUAUUGUGAUGCAUGCAAGUAAAGGCAAAGAUAACAUAUAGUGCCAAAAAAAUAAAUGCAAUGCGAUAUAUACAAGUAAAGUCAAGCAAGUAUAAAUAUUAAAUUAAAGAAAAACAUGAAUAACUGUCUUUUGGAGGGCAGACUGACCCAAUUAUCUUCUUUUAGGGUGGACAAACCCAGGUAAAAAAAUGAAUAUUGGGCAAAGAAAUAUUUGGGAAUAAAAGUAUUCACAUAUUCUCGAUGUUGCUUUAAAAUUGCUUCAGUAUCGAGCUGUGAGAUGCUGGGGAAUGCAAAAUUGUGUACUUGCUGGGGAGAAAGAAUUGAUUAUGAAAUUGUGGUGAUCGAACUCUGCAUAGAGCUUCCUACAUAUAUCGAGUGUCACGAGAAUUAGGUCAAUGUAGAUCAAAAUAAGAAAAGAGACUAAAUUUUGAGGUUGUUCUCGAAAUUUACCCCAGUGUAUGAUUUAUGGCUAACACUGUCUCUUUGAAAAAAAUCUUGAAAAGAUGUAUGAUGUCUCCCGAUUAUCUACGGGGACUUCAGAAUGAAGUCUUCGAUUGUCUACGAAGAUUGAGGUGCUCAACUAGUGAGGUGAUUGAACUGUAAUAGCUUCUCAACUGGCGGGGCUAUUGAAAUGAACAAGACUUCUUGGUUGUAAGAACAAAUGUAAUAGCAUCUCGAUUGGCAAGACUAUAAAAAAUGUAAAAAAUACUCAAAAAUGGGUGCUUGACUGAAAAAUAAAAUGUCGGUAUUUGAAGGUAUGUGCUUGAAAGAAAAAGUCAAAUGCCCGUAUUUUAAAACUGGGGACCUUGAAUAAAAAGUAAAAAAUGCAUGUAUGUAAAAGUGGACACCUUUAAUGAAAGAUAAAACAAAUUCCCGUAUAUGAAAGUAAGCGUCUUGAAUUUUUUUUUUUGUAUUUUCUAAAUAAAAAGUGCCGAAAGAUAAAAAAAGGCACGAUCAUGUCUUGGCUUCAGUUGGUAUCAAUAAUUAGUAGUGUGCAUAAGUAUUCUCCCAUCUCCUUUCCAGCAUAACCGAGAUCGACUUCAAGGUAACUCCUAUAGUUUCAAAUGGUAUCUCAGACAUACCUAAGUAUCGACAAGAUUUGUUCGUCUUGCUUCAAAUAAAGGAUUGAGCUAUGCUUAUUCUCAUGUUUCAAGUGUCCUCCAGAAAGAAAGUUUCAUUUCGCACAUAUUUGAGUAAAAAAAAUAUCUCAUUUCGCACAUAUUUGAGUAAUUUUUUUUUGAAUUUAGGGACAGUUAGAGAAAUACACUCACACUCGAAAAGAAAUUCAAUGCAUGCAAUUGUGAUACCAUAGGCUUGACCUUUAUGUAAGUAUCCACUACUAUGAGAACACUUGAAAUAGGAUAUCAUAGGACUUGUUAUCGGCUUAUAAUGCUGGUUUGGGGAUGGGUAGGAUAAUAUUUGGGACAAAAGUGAUUAAUUCCUCAAUGACCAUUGCACUGCAUUUGUGCUUUCAACAUUUGUUGCGCUUUGACGCGAGAUCUUCUUUGUUGUGAUGUGUUGCCCCUCGUUUUGUAUUUGCUUCGACUUCUUUUAAACCUUGUGUUGGAGUUUUCCCUUUUUUUCUACAAACUAUAUUUUUUUUUGUUUUUUUUUCUUUCCUUUUUAUUUGUGAGGGGGUCUCAUUCUGAAGUCGUUUUUUAAUUUUUGUUCAUCUGGGACAAUAUAUCCUUUGCAUUUUGCCACUUUGAUCUUGAAUCUUUAUCCGUAAUUUGCACGUAUUUAGUACGCUCAAGGAGGUAGAACCAAAAGAGGGAUAGUGCAUGUAAGCACUCAAAAAGGUAUAAGCUUAGAUGCGGUUGUCCGAAGAAAAAGUUUUAAGCUCAGAAAGAGGAAAUGCUAGGGAUUAAUGUCAUUUGAUGGGCUAUGAAAGGCACAAUCGGGUCAAAAAAGGCCUACGAUCUUUUCCUAAAUCAAGUGUAACUUAAAAUUUUUCCUCAAUAGAUAUUUAGGCCAAGCUCUAGAUCAACAAACCCAAUGCAAUGAAUUAAACUAAAGCUCACCACAUAAUGCAUUUGAAACGAUGAGGUUGGCUUUAUUCUUGUCUUAGAUGUAUGCAAGGGAAUUUUUUUAAGCGUUACUCAAGUGUGAUAAAAGGUACCAAAAGAAUCUAUAGUUUACCAUGAAGUCAGUCCUUUCAUCAUACCAAUUUACUUUCUCAUGCACACUCCUAACUUUAUUGGUACCAAUCAAGUCGAUUUUUUCAUUUAAAAAAGAAUUAGACCGAACCCAAAUGAGAGUUGCCUGCAUAUUUUGUGAAUACAAGAAUCAGGUCUGCGUAGUUCAGGAAAAUUUAUGAAUUUGUAUGUGCAAUGUAUGAUUAAAAAAGUGAUUAUAAACCUUGAAAAUAAUAUGAAGACGACCAGAAAAAAACUGCUUUUAGUGUCAAAAUCAUUUCGAUCACAUGAUCGAGAGGACGAAUGUCAAGUAUGGGGAGAGCUUUAAUACAACUUCAGUAUGCUGACAAGAUUGAAAAAGUCUGAUAUUAAAGGAAUUAUGACAUUAUUUCUCCGCAGUUGGUAGGAUUAUUAUAACUGAAAAAAUAUUGAACCCUUGCUUUUGAAAGUGAGGAUUGAUACGCCAUAAAUUUAAUGAUUCGCAGCGUUCGAAAGAAAAAGCUAGGUAUUCUCGCACAAAAAUCAGGUGAGUAUCUGAAAGUAGGCCGGCUAGGCACUAAUGUUAUUAAGAUUUGGAUUUGAGGAGCUAUUGAUUGUGCUCUUGAAGAAUUUGGAGAGCAUUUUUGAACCGUUUCAGAAUAUUGCUCCAUUUUUGAAUACCAGAGAAACUAUUCUAAAACAGUAAAGAGACCAAACCCUAAUGCAGGUUUGCCUAUGUAUCUUGUCAGGACAAGAAUCAGGUCAAAACGUAAUUCAAACCUAUAAGCAGCUAUCGACAAUAUUGUUAAGUUGCAUUUUUUAACUGAUCCGCUAUGCAAAAUAAAGGUUAGACUACACUUUCUCACUAAAGUAUAAUAAAGUUAGAGAAAAUAAAUAUGUACAGACACAAUAAUCCUUCAAAUAUAUACAAAGAUUAUAAUAAUGUGUCACGUGAGUUGUGAAACCUUCGAACAUAAAGUUGAAUAAUGAUGCAUGCGCCUAAAAAGGUGUUGUUUUAGCUCUAUCCUAUGUUCGACUAAGAGUGAUUUGCUAGACCUGUGGUUCUCGAGUAGAUUACUUGAGUGAGAAGGCUACGCAGGCACACAGAAAAAGAUCCAGAUACCUCGCGCAUACACCAACUCUCCUAAAAUUUAGGAUUUUGAAAGAAAUUUGUGGGUGCGCAAAACACACCUCACUUGUAUGUGUGAUUGUGUCAGCUUUCUCAAAUGGAAGAAAUAUGAAUGGAAUGAACGUUUAUAUAAAACAAUAAAUAAAUAAGUAAGCUGUACAAAACAAAUAACAAUUUAUGCUACACAAACAGGAUAAAUCAAGACAAUUAGAAAGAAACAAAUAAUAAUGUAGAAAAAUAUAAAUAUUUACCUAAAUCUGUAAUGGUUAGAACCUUGAUUCCCCAGCAGAGUCGUCAAACUGUCAUACCCUAUUUUUACCUAAGGUCAAAACGAGCACGAUAUUAUAAACUCUAAAAGAAUUGAUUUUAUACAGAGUUGCCACCUAAUUUUUAAGAAAAAUAAGAAAACCUAUUUAUUUAUUUAUUAACAAGUAUAACUUUAUUUCAUCUACGAAAUCAUUUUAGAUUUCAGAUAAGGAUUCAAAUUAUUCCAAAAGGAAAGAGGUUAGGCAUCCUUCAAAAUCCACAAAUGUGGUGUCCGACCAGACUUAAAUUUAUUAAAAAAUAAAGAAAAAAAUCAAUGUUUAUAAAUACAAUUAUAAAAUGUGUAUUAAAAUGAUAUAAAUAAUUUAUAUAUAAAUAAUGUAUAAAUUGCAUAUGCUAUCGUAAAAAUCAUAUGUAUAAGAAAUGUUGAAGAAAAACGAAAGUACAUGAGAAUAUGUAUUAAAAAUGAAAAGAUUGAAUGUAGAAAAAAUUUGCUCUAAAGAAAAGAUUACGUAAUAUUUUAGUGUAAAAAAUGUGAAUUAUUCAAUUAAAUAUCUAAAUCAAUUUAAUUCUUUUAUAUAAAUUGUAAUGGCCUAAAUUUGCCUAUACUCACUGAAGAUUGUAUAAAUAACGAAUAUCCCCACUCAAUGCCCCAAAAAUAAAGUUUUCACUAUGAUAAUAUUUGUACAAGUAUAAGAAGAUAAAAAUAUAAUGCAAAAUUUAAAGUCUUCUAUGAAUGCUGUUUCCGACGAGUAUUGUCAAUAACCUGUUUAAACACUUAUAAUAAAAAUGUUAGUAACAAAUAAAUAGUUAUAAAAGGGCAUGUAUGCAUAUAUGUAUUCAAAAUAUAUUUUUUGUUAAAAAAACAGGCUCAGAGAAAGUUUUUUAAAAAAUAAAAGAUUUCAUUAUUGCCCAAAUUUAUUUAUUUUAUUAAGUAUUUGUAUACAUAAUAUCCGUCGACUUUUUAUUUGCGGAGGCCUCAAAAAUCGACGAAAAAUUUCUCCAUCCGCCAAUUAAGUAGCCUUUUGACCAUAAAAACUAAAAUUUUUCGAAGUUGGAGUUAAAAUUAGAGUUGAAAUUAGAGUUGGAGCUGUGUUUGGCCAUGUCUUUUUUGAAAUUUCUUUUUUGACUUUUGAAAAAACUUUUUUAAAUAUGAUUUUAUACCCCAAUUUUUACAAACUAUCAAAAUCACCCAACUAAAAUUUAUCUACUAAUGAAAAAAGAACACAAUUAGCCACUAUAAUAAAAAUAAUUACAUAUACAUGACCAUAUUUAAUAAAUUUCAAUUAUGACAUAUAUAAUAUUUACAUUAAUAGCCGUUUUCACAUAUUUAAAAAUUUUAAAUAUGAAUGUUAUAUUAGCAGGUCACUGCCUCAUGUUUUUUAGAUAACAAAUAUUAUCUUUCAAAUAAAUUUAUUUUUUUAGAAAUUUAUUUAAUUUAUUUCCUUCAUUUUUCGUUCCUAAAAUAUAGGAAAUGAUGAGUUGUUAUUAAAUUUUAGGGUGCCCCUAAUUUAUUUCUUUAAUUUUCUUAUACAUGAAAGAUUUUACUGUGUGUAAAUAAAUUAUUUCUAUGUAAAAUAUGCUUUGCAUAUUUAUGGUAUAAUAUAUCAAAUACCAUAAAUAUAUAAAUAUGCUUAGUAUGUUUGUUUAUACUUUGUAUUUUUAUAUAUGUGUGUAUAUAGUAUAUACAUGAUAUAAACUUCAUAUAUAACAUAAUUUGUAUAUUUAUAUUAUAAAUAUACUUAAUAUGUUUCUUAAUACUUUGUAUAUUUAUAUAUAUGUGUAUAUGAUAUAUACAUGAUAUAAACUUUAUAUAUAACAUACUUUGUAUAUUUCUAUUAUAAAUAUAAUACUUUAUAUAUUUAUGGGUAUAAAUAUAAAUUUGUAGUAAAAUAAUGUCUUAAAUAAGGGAUAAAAAUAAUGAUUAUAAAUAUGAUACUUUAUAUAUUUAUGAAUAUAAAUAUAAAUUAGCAGUAAAAUAAUGUCUUAACUAAAGAAGAAAAUUAAAUAAAAGAUAAAACUAAUGAUGAGAGAGAAAAAGAGAUAUAUAUUAAUUAGAAUAACAUUAAAUUUGAAAUUAUAAUUAUCUUAUUCUUUAAAACUGCUAUAUACGUAAUAUUGAAAAAGUAAUGUUAUAAGGAGAGUUUUAUGUAAAAAUUUAAAAGAUUGAGGUUAUAUAUAAUAAUAAUAAAAGUUAGAAUUCAAAAAUUGUGAAAAUAAUAAAAGCCUGUUUUCCUUUUCAGAAAAAUUUUUUGAAAUUAUUUUUCGAAUUUUCAUGACCAAACACCACAAUUUUCAACUUUGAAAUUUUUUUUCAAAAAAGAGGAAAAAAUUUUCAUGGCCAAAGGGCCCUAAAUUAAUCCUGAAUAUAGAAGAAACAAUCAAAUACAAGUAAUUAAAUAAUAAAAAAAUAAAAGAUAAAAAUAAAAUAUGUCUUAUGUCUUUUGUCUUGAGGAGAUAUCAAAGAUUAACGGAGAAAUUUUAUUAUUAUUCAAAUAAUUUAUUAAUAUCGUAGAAUAAAAUAAAACCAAAACAUUCAACUAAAAUAGUCUAACUUGGAACCAAAUUAAAAAUGGCAAUUUCCAAAAAACUAAAUAAAAUUGUGAUGGUGAAUCAAAUCGUCUCUAAAAAGUUAUUUUUUUAAGAAAAUAAUGAAUCAUCAAUUGCAUAAGAUUUAAUCUUGAGUAAACAUCAACUGUGAGGAGUAAAACAUUGGAGAACAAAAUCAAUAUGUCCAAAAAAAAAUCACGAAAAAGAUCAAGCAGCCAUGAAAACAAACAUACAUAGAUUAUCGAAGAGAAAUUCAAGCAAAAUCAACCCAAAAUUAAUAAAAUAAUGUAAAAAUAGUCCAAAAUAAAAAUGGCGACACUUCAAAUUUAUUUCCACAAAACAUGCAAAAUAAUGGUAAAGCGAAAAGAAGAAGCUUUCACCGGGUUUUAAGUUUUUCCGGUAACAUGGUCAUGGUUUCCGGCCAAAUCUGAAAAUAAACAGAAAAAAAUAAUAGCAGUCAAAAGAGAAUGGAUCAUCGGUGUUGCUUCAACGGAUUUUACCGGAGCAACACCGGAGAGGAAUUUUCGACCAAAUCUGUUCCGGUCACUACCUCCGGCCAGGCAGCGGCGGUAGACGACAGAAAGAGAGGAAGCUGGGGCGGCAGAUGGUUUUUGUUGGUGGUUGAAACUCACCGGCCAUCAACUCCAGUGAGAUAGCGAAGAAAGUGAAUUAAUAAGGAGUUUGCAACUUGGGAUGGUGGUCGCCGGCGGUGGGAAAGAGAGCAAGGGGGGGGCACUGGUUGGAGGCUGGAAAGAGAGAUGAAAUGAGAGAGAGAAAGAAACAGAUUUUAUGUGUGUAUUUGUGGUGUUUGUGCGUCAGUGUGU